UGAAGGACGUGAUUACCAACGAAAUGCUUCGGGGAGCUGGCAGUAAGCUUUGAUCCGAAGGUCUCCGAAUGAGGAAACUCUUUAUAACUCUUUAUUGAAUCUAUAGAUAUUGAGUGGCAAACCUGGAGAAUUGAAACAUCUUAGUAUCCAGAGGAAAAGAAAGUAAAAACGAUUCCCUAAGUAGCGGCGAGCGAAUGGGGAAGAGCCUAAACCAUACUUCGGUAUGGGGUAGUGGGAAAGUUACUAAUAAAAAGCUAAAAGAAAUACCUGGAAGGGUAUACCGUAGAAAGUGACAGUCUUGUAUUUGAAAGCGAAAAAAAAACUUUAUCCCGAGUAGCAUGGAGCACGUGAAAUUCCGUGUGAAUCAGCGAGGACCACCUCGUAAGGCUAAAUAUUCCUGAAUGACCGAUAGUGAAACAGUACCGCGAGGGAAAGGUGAAAAGAACCCCGGGAGGGGAGUGAAAUAGAACAUGAAACCAUAAGCUUACAAGCAGUAGAAGGACGACUAAUCGUCUAACUGCGUGCCUGUUGAAGAAUGAGCCGGCGACUUGUAUUUAAUGGCAGGUUAAGAUAGAAAAUAUCGGAGCCAUAGUGAAAGCGAGCUUUAAUAGAGCUAUUGUCAUUAUAUACAGACCCGAACCCGGAUGAUCUAACCAUGGCCAGGUUGAAACUUAGGUAAUACUAAGUGGAGGACCGAACCGACUGAUGUUGAAAAAUCAGCGGAUGAGUUGUGGUUAGGGGUGAAAUGCCAAUCGAAUCCGGAGCUAGCUGGUUCUCCCCGAAAUGUGUUUAGGCGCAGCGGUUAACAGAAAACUCAGGGGUAAAGCACUGUUUCGGUGCGGGCUGGUAAUUCGGUACCAAAUCGAGGCAAACUCUGAAUACUGAGUGGACUUUUUUUAAAGUUAGCGUUAACUAGUAAGACUAUGGGGGAUAAGCUCCAUUGUCAAGAGGGAAACAGCCCAGAUCACCAGCUAAGGCCCCUAAAUAAUUACUAAGUGAUAAAGGAGGUGAGAAGGCUUUAACAACCAGGAGGUUUGCUUAGAAGCAGCAACCCUUUAAAGAGUGCGUAAUAGCUCACUGGUCGAGCAAUCUUGCGCCGAAAAUGUACGGGGCUAAGUAAUUUGCCGAAGCUGUGAGAUAUGCAUAAUAUAUCGGUAGGGGAGCGUUCUGUUGUAGGUUGAAGCAUUAGCGGAAGCGGGUGUGGACGAAACAGAAGUGAGAAUGUCGGCUUGAGUAGCGAAAACAUUGGUGAGAAUCCAAUGCCCCGAAAANCUAAGGUUUCCUUCGCAAGGCUCGUCCGAGGAGGGUUAGUCAGGACCUAAGGUGAGGCCGAAAGGCGUAAUCGAUGGACAACAUGUUAAUAUUCAUGUACCAUNUUUUGUUGGCAACGAGGGACGGAGAAGGCUAGNCUNGCCAGAUAUUGGUUACUGGUUUAAAUGUUCGAGAUGUUGAGAAGUAGAGAAAAUACUUUGAGUUNAGGCAUGAAUACAAGACACUACGGUGUUGAAGNAGUUGACGUCAUACUUCCAAGAAAAGCUUGCACUGUCAUAAACAAAANAUGCCUGUACCGUAAACCAACACAGGUNGNUGGGUAGAGAAUACUAAGGGGCGCGAGAUAACUCUCUCUAAGGAACUCGGCAAAAUGACCCCGUAACUUCGGGAGAAGGGGUGCCUUUGAANAAAGGUUGCAAUGAAAUGGCCCAAGCGACUGUUUACCAAAAACACAGGUCUCCGCUAAGUUGUAAAACGAAGUAUGGGGGCUGACGCCUGCCCAGUGCCGGAAGGUUAAAGACGUUGGUUAGCGUAAGCGAAGCUNAUUACUGAAGCCCCGGUGAACGGCGGCCGUAACAAUAACGGUCCUAAGGUAGCGAAAUUCCUUGUCGGGUAAGUUCCGACCCGCACGAAAGGCGUAACGAUCAGGGUACUGUCUCGGAGAGAGACUCGGCGAAAUAGACUUGUCUGUGAAGAUGCGGACUACCUACACCUGGACAGAAAGACCCUAUGAAGCUUCACUGUAACUUGAGACUGGGUUUGGUCUUUAUUUGCGCAGUAUAGGUGGGAGGCAUUGAAGAAAUUCUCGUGGGAAUUUUGGAGCCAUUAGUGAGAUACCACUCUAAUAAAGUUCGAAUUCUAACCUUAAUCCGUAAUCCGGUUAGGGAACACUCUCAGGUGGGCAGUUUG
RNAcentral lists this ribosomal RNA (2181 nucleotides) under metagenome. Its description in RNAcentral is "bacterial LSU rRNA". It matches the Rfam family "Bacterial large subunit ribosomal RNA", at positions 50 to 2272 of the family's 2925-position model. The record is from RNAcentral.